RNAcentral lists this ribosomal RNA (253 nucleotides) under uncultured bacterium. Its description in RNAcentral is "partial 16S ribosomal RNA". It matches the Rfam family "Bacterial small subunit ribosomal RNA", at positions 524 to 776 of the family's 1533-position model. The record is from RNAcentral.
AACGUAGGAGACAACCGUUAUCCGGAGUUACUGGGCGUAAAGGGCGUGUAGGUGGUUUCGUAAGUCUGGCGUGAAAUAUCUCGGCUUAACCGAGGCAGGUCGUCGGAUACUGCGGGACUAGAGGACGGUAGAGGCGUGUGGAAUUCCGGGUGUAGUGGUGAAAUGCGUAGAGAUCCGGAGGAACACCAGUGGCGAAGGCGACACGCUGGGCCGUACCUGACACUGAUGCGCGACAGCAUGGGGAGCAAACAGG